This 491-nucleotide ribosomal RNA is filed under the name uncultured bacterium. RNAcentral's name for it is "partial 16S ribosomal RNA". It matches the Rfam family "Bacterial small subunit ribosomal RNA", at positions 29 to 506 of the family's 1533-position model. The record is from RNAcentral.
AGUGAACGCUGGCGGUAGGCCUAACACAUGCAAGUCGAACGGCAGCACAGUAAGAGCUUGCUCUUACGGGUGGCGAGUGGCGGACGGGUGAGGAAUACAUCGGAAUCUACUUUUUCGUGGGGGAUAACGUAGGGAAACUUACGCUAAUACCGCAUACGACCUACGGGUGAAAGCAGGGGAUCUUCGGACCUUGCGCGAUUGAAUGAGCCGAUGUCGGAUUAGCUAGUUGGCGGGGUAAGGGCCCACCAAGGCGACGAUCCGUAGCUGGUCUGAGAGGAUGAUCAGCCACACUGGAACUGAGACACGGUCCAGACUCCUACGGGAGGCAGCAGUGGGGAAUAUUGGACAAUGGGCGCAAGCCUGAUCCAGCCAUACCGCGUGGGUGAAGAAGGCCUUCGGGUUGUAAAGCCCUUUUGUUGGGAAAGAAAAGCAGCAGGUUAAUACCCCGCUGUUCUGACGGUACCCAAAGAAUAAGCACCGGCUAACUUCGG